This 322-nucleotide ribosomal RNA is filed under the name uncultured eukaryote. RNAcentral describes it as "partial 18S ribosomal RNA". It matches the Rfam family "Eukaryotic small subunit ribosomal RNA", at positions 1470 to 1796 of the family's 1831-position model. The record is from RNAcentral.
CCCUUAGAUGUUCUGGGCCGCACGCGAGCUACACUGAGUGGAUCAGCGGGUCAGGUUGCGCGAAAGUGUUUCCUAAUCUUUAAAUCCGCUCGUGAUGGGGAUUGACGGUUGCAAUUUUCCGUCAUGAACGAGGAAUACCUUGUAAGCGCGGGUCAUCAUCCCGCGCUGAAUACGUCCCUGCCCUUUGUACACACCGCCCGUCGCUCCUACCGAUUGAGUGGUCCGGUGAGGCUUUGGGAUCUGAGCGGAAAGAGCGUUUCGCUGUUUCUGCCCGGAAAACUCAGUCGAACCUUAUCAUUUAGAGGAAGGAGAAGUCGUAACA